AGAGUUUGAUCAUGGCUCAGAACGUACGCUGGCGGCACGCCUAAUACAUGCAAGUCGAACGAAGUAGCAAUACUUAGUGGCAGACGGGUGAGUAACAUGUAGGUAUCUUCCCAUUGGUGAGGAAUAACACGAGGAAACUUGUGCUAAUACCUCAUAAGUCUUUACGGAGAAAGCUUUAUGCGCCGAUGGAUGAGCCUGCACUUGAUUAGUUUGUUGGUAGGGUAAUGGCCUACCAAGACAAUGAUCAAUAGCUGAUUUGAGAGGAUGAUCAGCCACAUUGGGACUGAGACACGGCCCAAACUCCUACGGGAGGCAGCAGUAGGGAAUCUUGCACAAUGGGGGAAACCCUGAUGCAGCGAUGCCGCGUGAGUGAAGAAGGCCUUUGGGUUGUAAAGCUCUUUCGUCGGGGAAGAAAAUGACUGUACCCGAAUAAGAAGGUCCGGCUAACUUCGUGCCAGCAGCCGCGGUAAUACGAAGGGACCUAGCGUAGUUCGGAAUUACUGGGCUUAAAGAGUUCGUAGGUGGUUAAAAAAGUUGGUGGUGAAAUCCCAGAGCUUAACUCUGGAACUGCCAUCAAAACUUUUUAGCUAGAGUAUGAUAGAGGAAAGCAGAAUUUCUAGUGUAGAGGUGAAAUUCGUAGAUAUUAGAAAGAAUACCAAUUGCGAAGGCAGCUUUCUGGAUCAUUACUGACACUGAGGAACGAAAGCAUGGGUAGCGAAGAGGAUUAGAUACCCUCGUAGUCCAUGCCGUAAACGAUGUGUGUUAGACGUUGGAAAUUUAUUUUCUGUGUCGCAGCGAAAGCAAUAAACACACCGCCUGGGGAGUACGACCGCAAGGUUAAAACUCAAAUGAAUUGACGGGGACCCGCACAAGUAGUGGAGCAUGUGGUUUAAUUCGAAGAUACGCGCAGAACCUUACCAACACUUGACAUGUUCGUCGCGACUUUAAGAGAUUAAAGUUUUCGGUUCGGCCGGACGAAACACAGGUGCUGCAUGGCUGUCGUCAGCUCGUGUCGUGAGAUGUUGGGUUAAGUCCCGCAACGAGCGCAACCCUCACUUUUAGUUGCCAUCAUUAAGUUGGGCACUCUGAAAGAACUGCCAGUGAUAAGCUGGAGGAAGGUGGGGAUGACGUCAAGUCCUCAUGGCCCUUACGUGUUGGGCUACACACGUGCUACAAUGGCAUUUACAAUAGGAAGCAAGACGGCGACGUUUAGCAAAUCCUAAAAAAGUGCCUCAGUUCGGAUUGUACUCUGCAACUCGAGUACAUGAAGCUGGAAUUACUAGUAAUCGCGGAUCAGCGCGCCGCGGUGAAUACGUUCCCGGGUCUUGUACACACCGCCCGUCACACCAUGGGAGUUGGUUCUACCUUAAGGCAAAGUUUAAAACCUUUGACCACGGUAUAGUCAGCGACUGGGGUGAAGUCAUAACAAGGUAGCCGUA
RNAcentral lists this ribosomal RNA (1439 nucleotides) under uncultured bacterium. Its description in RNAcentral is "bacterial SSU rRNA". It matches the Rfam family "Bacterial small subunit ribosomal RNA". The record is from RNAcentral.